Molecule: long non-coding RNA, 1093 nt
Organism: Clupea harengus (Atlantic herring)
Lineage: Eukaryota; Metazoa; Chordata; Actinopteri; Clupeiformes; Clupeidae
Source: Ensembl
GUAGAUACCUCUAGUACUGAUACAUGUACUGUAUGGUGUCAGUGGUGUCAGUGGUGUCAGUCAGUGGUGUCAGUCAGUGGUGUGUGUGUGUGGUGUCAGUGGUGUCAGUGGGGUGUGUGUGUGUCAAUGGUGUCAGUGAUGUCAGUGGUGUGUGUGGUGUGUGUGUGUGUGUGUGUGUGUGUGUGUGGUGUCAGUGGUGUCAGUGGUGUCAGUGGUGUGUGUGUGUGUGUGUGUGUGUGUGUGUGUGUGUGUGUGUGUGGUGUCAGUGGUGUCAGUGGUGUGUGUGUGUGGUGUCAGUGGUGUGUGUGUGGUGUCAGUGGUGUGUGUGGUGUCAGUGGUGUCAGUGGUGUCAGUGGUGUCAGUGGUGUGUGUGUGUGUGGUGUCAGUGGUGUCAGUGGUGUGUGUGUGUGUGUCAGUGGUGUGUGUGUGUGUGUGUGUGUGUUAGUGGUGUGUGUGUGGUGUCAGUGAUAUCAGUGGUGUGUGUGUGUGUGUGUGGUGUCAGUGGUGCCAGUGGUGUCAGUGGUGUCAGUGGUGUGUGUGUGUGUGUCAGUGGUGUGUGUGUGGUGUCAGUGGUGUGUGUGGUGUGUGUGUGGUGUGGUGUGUGUGGGGUCUGUGGUGUGUGUGUGGUGUCAGUGGUGUCGGUGGUGUCAGUGGUGUGUGUGUGUGGUGUCAGUGGUGUGUGUGUGUGUGUGUGGUGUCAGUGGUGUCAGUGGUGUCAGUGGUGUGUGUGUGUGUGUGAUGUGUGUGGUGUCAGUGGUGUGUGUGUGUGUGUGGUGUCAGUGGUGUCAGUGGUGUGUGUGUGUGUGUGUGUGUGUGUGUGUGUGUGUGUGUGUGUGUGUGUGUGUGUGUGUGUGUCCGUGGUGUGUGUGUGGUGUCAGUGGUGUGUGUGGUGUGGUGUGUGUGUGGGGUCUGUGGUGUCAGUGGUGUCAGUUGUGUCAGUUGUGUGUGUGUGUGUGUGUGUGUGUGUGUGUGUGUGUGUGUGUGUGUGUGUGUGUGUGUGUGUCAGUGUGGGGUCAGUGGGGUCAGUGGUGUCAGUGGGGUCAGUGGUGUCAGUGGUGUGUGUGUGUGUGGUGUCAGUGGUGUCAGUGGUGUC